Molecule: ribosomal RNA, 433 nt
Filed under: uncultured bacterium
Lineage: Bacteria
Description: partial 16S ribosomal RNA
Rfam family: Bacterial small subunit ribosomal RNA
Source: RNAcentral
AACGAACGCUGGCGGCACGCCUAACACAUGCAAGUCGAACGAGACCUUCGGGUCUAGUGGCGCACGGGUGCGUAACGCGUGGGAACCUGCCCUUAGGUUCGGAAUAACUCCCCGAAAGGGGUGCUAAUACCGGAUAAUGUCUUCGGACCAAAGAUUUAUCGCCUUUGGAUGGGCCCGCGUUGGAUUAGCUAGUUGGUAGGGUAAAAGCCUACCAAGGCGACGAUCCAUAGCUGGUCUGAGAGGAUGAUCAGCCACACUGGGACUGAGACACGGCCCAGACUCCUACGGGAGGCAGCAGUGGGGAAUAUUGGACAAUGGGCGAAAGCCUGAUCCAGCAAUGCCGCGUGAGUGAUGAAGGCCUUAGGGUUGUAAAGCUCUUUUACCCGGGAUGAUAAUGACAGUACCGGGAGAAUAAGCUCCGGCUAACUCCGUG